This 731-nucleotide ribosomal RNA is filed under the name gamma proteobacterium M12-20B. RNAcentral describes it as "bacterial SSU rRNA". It matches the Rfam family "Bacterial small subunit ribosomal RNA", at positions 61 to 783 of the family's 1533-position model. The record is from RNAcentral. Lineage: Bacteria; Pseudomonadati; Pseudomonadota; Gammaproteobacteria.
GUCGAGCGGUAACAUUUCCAGCUUGCUGGAAGAUGACGAGCGGCGGACGGGUGAGUAAUACUUGGGGAUCUGCCUGAUGGCGGGGGACAACCACUGGAAACGGUGGCUAAUACCGCAUAAUGCCUACGGGCCAAAGUGUGGGACCUUCGGGCCACAUGCCAUCAGAUGAACCCAAGCGAGAUUAGCUAGUUGGUGAGGUAACGGCUCACCAAGGCGACGAUCUCUAGCUGUUCUGAGAGGAUGAUCAGCCACACUGGGACUGAGACACGGCCCAGACUCCUACGGGAGGCAGCAGUGGGGAAUAUUGGACAAUGGGCGCAAGCCUGAUCCAGCCAUGCCGCGUGUGUGAAGAAGGCCUUCGGGUUGUAAAGCACUUUCAGUGGUGAGGAAGGCGUUGUAGUUAAUAGCUGCAACGAUUGACGUUAGCCACAGAAGAAGCACCGGCUAACUCCGUGCCAGCAGCCGCGGUAAUACGGAGGGUGCGAGCGUUAAUCGGAAUUACUGGGCGUAAAGCGCACGUAGGCGGCCUGUUAAGCAAGAUGUGAAAGCCCAGGGCUCAACCUUGGAAUUGCAUUUUGAACUGGCAGGCUAGAGUUUUGAAGAGGGUGGUAGAAUUUCCAGUGUAGCGGUGAAAUGCGUAGAUAUUGGAAGGAAUACCAGUGGCGAAGGCGGCCACCUGGUCAAAAACUGACGCUGAGGAGCGAAAGCGUGGGGAGCAAACAGGAUUAGAU